GGAUUACAGGCGUGAGCCACCGCGCCUUGCCCAAUUAAUCCAUAUUUUUCUAGGGAAUAAAUCGUGAUAAAACCUGUGAAUUCCAUGGUUAUGAGCCCACUGUCACAUUGCCACCUCUGAAAAGUGUAUCCCUGCAGGGAGAUGUUUGAGUUUUGACACCAUUUGGGAUAGACAAGACAUUCUUUAAGUCCAUGAACUUUGGUGCUGGCAGACAUACUGGGGACAGGAAAGGCAAAUCCAUACUUGGAGCAAAUAUUUGUCUCUGUGAGGCUAAUUCUGCCUCCUACCUGAUGAAAGGGAUCCAAAGUUAUCUACCUGCAAUCAGAUGUCUUUGCUGGGUCUCUUUAAGGAGCGGUGUCAUUUUAGGGUCUUAGUGUUGAUCUGCUGUGGCUGAUUGGACAUUGAGUUCUGGCAGAGGCCAGAUCAGUCUUGGUGAGAGUGUGCUACUGAGCCCAUGCAUAGCGUCCAUCCCUGCCAUAUGUGUGCUUUGUUCAUGGGCCAAUUAAGCAAGUACGUGGGAAGUGAGGGAAAGAGACUGAUAGAUAUCCACAGAUUGGAUCAUCUUGACCACAUGAUUAUUGUUAGAAACAGAAUUGUGGCCCCCAAAUUCAUAUAGUGAAGCCCUAAUUCCCCCAUGUGACUGUAUUUGGAGACAGGAGAUAAUUGAGAUCAUAAGGGUUGAGGCCUAAUCUCAUAGGAUCGCUGUCCUUAUAAGAAGUGGAAGAAACAUCAGAGAGCUCUCCCUCUCCACACACACAGAAGAAAGGCUACAUGGGGACAAGAGAGGGCAACUGUCUACAAAUCUGGAAGAGAGACUUCAGAAGAAACCAGCACUGAUGGCACCUGAUCUUGGACUUCCAGCCUCUGGAUCUAUCUGCCAGAGCCUGAUCUCAUACACACUGAUGUGGUACAGGAAAUGCCACCUGAAAAUAUGGUACCUUGGCAUUUGAGGAAACAGUAGAAGGAGGUCAUAGAAACUAGAAAGAAUUCCUCCUUGCUCUUUGUCCCCCAAAGGAGCCAUAAAACCCGGGCCGAGUUUCUUCUGAAAAUAAGUUAUAAGAUCC
Molecule: long non-coding RNA, 1064 nt
Filed under: Pan troglodytes (chimpanzee)
Lineage: Eukaryota; Metazoa; Chordata; Mammalia; Primates; Hominidae
Description: long non-coding RNA NONPTRT004430
Source: RNAcentral